GAACAAAUAGAACAAACAUGAAAAGAUAAUUGUGCUAUUGCCACAAUAUAUCUUAUGACUGUUUGAUCAAACUGAUGUGAUGGGUAACGGAGAGAUGAGAUUAGCCCAAAAACGGCUGACCAAAACAAGAAUCACCAAAACAAAGCAUUUUGGCAAAAGUAUUAAUUAUAUAUGGGACAAUAAGUAGUUUAUUCUUCACCCUCGCCUUUGUUUGUCUUUCUGUCCUUUUGUCAUCACUGACCCUUGUACCUUAUUGGCCAUAUUAUUCUUCUGACAUUUUGCUUAUUUCAUUUCUUUCUAGUGAGACUCAGCCACAUUGCCCCCCGCUGUGUCUACGUGACAUGCGUUUUUUUUGGUAUAUUUUGUCGGCGUAUGCUAGUCACUGAAAAGAAGACAGGGGUCCGGCAGUAACGGCAGCAGGGCGACGUUAACUUUCCUUGACGACAACUGCUAACAGUAGACAAAAGACACGCACACUUUAUUUCUUCUAACAGAUGUUGUUUGUUCCAUUCCUCCCCCCAAACUGAGUUCCGUUUCUGAUAAGAGGUUUUUAGUGACUGGUGGUUAGCACUGAAGCUACGUUUAAAAAUGCUAAGUUGAGUCGCUCGCUGUGGAACUUCCUCGUCUGCGCUGCCCGAUAAAAAAAGAGACUUCCUACAGAGUUAUGACUAUGUGACGCUGACUCACAUUUAAAAGGGAGAAAUAGACUUUAGAAAACUCACCGCUGGAUGAAUGUCUAGUGUAUGCGUACCUGUUUAUUUGUGACGGGAACCACAGAUUGUUUCUUUAGCCUCCUGUAGGUUUCCUUUACACCCAGGACACAGCCGUUUCUCUCAGGGUCUCCCUGCUCUGUAGAAUGGGCCAGCCACUCCUCAUAGUCCUCGUCACCACCUGAUGAACCAGAUGGCAAACCAGUCAGAACACAAGCUUCCAACUUCUUCAUAAAAAACGGUGGCGCUCCAGAGACUUGGAGAACAAGAUUCCACGGUCAUCAGACGUGUACAUGGUUCCGAAGAAGGUAUCUGUAGUUAAGAAGAUAGAAGAAGAGAAAAGCUCCGAUGUAGCCGAAGCUGAAGAUGUCCUCGUGGAUGAUGGUGAAGGAUCUUCCCAGGUCUUUAGUUGUCUUCAGGACCAGGUCUCCUCUCUCUUCUGCAUCCACUGAAAAGACACAAAGACUUUACACCAGGAAUGACCUGAAAGAACUCUGUGUUCGGCUGGAGAGAGAGGGAGUGGACAGGAGGUGAAAGGAGGACCGUGAGAAAGCCUGAAUGAUGACGAUGACACUGAUGGAGCGCUGCUCUCCCUCCGGCUCCGUGCGAGCUCCUGGCGCAGGUUCUGGUUCACAUCCCGCCUGGUCCGGUGGAAUGUCACGGUCCGGUCCGACGCAAGACACACGGACAGCCCGCAAAAGAGAAGCAGGAGUGUCCAGACCAUAUCCGAUGAGGGACAAAACAAGAUUCCUGUCACUGUGUGAGAUGUGAGGAGACUCUGACUGACUUCUGCUCCAGUCAGGUGUUUGUGCCCGCAUCGGAGUGACCUGAGCCGCUGGGACGACGCUGACAGACUGGGACCUGAGGGAAGAGCACCUGGUGGCCACCAACAC
Molecule: long non-coding RNA, 1603 nt
Organism: Cynoglossus semilaevis (tongue sole)
Lineage: Eukaryota; Metazoa; Chordata; Actinopteri; Pleuronectiformes; Cynoglossidae
Exons: 6
Source: RefSeq, a predicted model, not a curated record